RNAcentral lists this long non-coding RNA (280 nucleotides) under Homo sapiens (human). RNAcentral's name for it is "non-protein coding lnc-QRICH1-2:6". Lineage: Eukaryota; Metazoa; Chordata; Mammalia; Primates; Hominidae. The record is from RNAcentral.
CAGGGUGGUGUGAAGUGGUGCAAUCAUAGCUCACUGUGGCCUCAAACUACUGGGCUCAAGCUAUUCUCCUGCCUUAGCUGAGACUACAUGUGCACACUACCAUGCCUGGCUAAUUUUAAAACUUUUUGUAGAGCUUGUCUUUAACCGAACUGUCACACUGAAGGAAGACCCAGGAAAGGUGUGAGCUGGAAGCACUGAACCUACCUCAUCCUCCUGGAGGGUGUGGCUACCCUCGCCACCCCAAAUUCCAUGUCAAUAAAGAACAGCUAAAUUCUCCUAG